AAACUCAAAUGAAUUGACGGGACCCGCACAAGCGGUGGAUGAUGUGGUUUAAUUCGAUGCAACGCGAAAACCUUACCCACCUUUGACAUGUACGGAACCCUUUAGAGAUAGAGGGGUGCUCGAAAGAGAGCCGUAACACAGGUGCUGCAUGGCUGUCGUCAGCUCGUGUCGUGAGAUGUUGGGUUAAGUCCCGUAACGAGCGCAACCCUUGUCCAUAGUUGCCAGCACGUAAAGGUGGGAACUCUAUGGAGACUGCCGGUGACAAACCGGAGGAAGGUGGGGAUGACGUCAAGUCAUCAUGGUCCUUAUGGGCAGGGCUACACACGUACUACAAUGGUCGGUACAAAGGGUUGCCAAGCCGCGAGGUGGAGCUAAUCCCAUAAAACCGAUCGUAGUCCGGAUCGCAGUCUGCAACUCGACUGCGUGAAGUCGGAAUCGCUAGUAAUCGUGAAUCAGAAUGUCACGGUGAAUACGUUCCCGGGCCUU
RNAcentral lists this ribosomal RNA (486 nucleotides) under uncultured Variovorax sp. RNAcentral describes it as "bacterial SSU rRNA". It matches the Rfam family "Bacterial small subunit ribosomal RNA", at positions 897 to 1382 of the family's 1533-position model. The record is from RNAcentral. Lineage: Bacteria; Pseudomonadati; Pseudomonadota; Betaproteobacteria; Burkholderiales; Comamonadaceae.